RNAcentral lists this small RNA (125 nucleotides) under Marmota monax (woodchuck). Lineage: Eukaryota; Metazoa; Chordata; Mammalia; Rodentia; Sciuridae. The record is from RNAcentral.
GCUGGGUGCGGUGGUGCACACUUGUAAUCCCAGCAGCUCAGGAGGCUGAGGCAGGAGGAUUGCAGGUUCAAAGCCAGCCCCAGCAAAGACGAGGUGCUAAACAACUCAGUGAGACCCUGUCUCUU